RNAcentral lists this long non-coding RNA (1328 nucleotides) under Gallus gallus (chicken). Its description in RNAcentral is "lncRNA (ENSGALG00010025040.1)". The record is from RNAcentral. Lineage: Eukaryota; Metazoa; Chordata; Aves; Galliformes; Phasianidae.
CUGGGCAGCUGAAUUACAGACUUCAGGUGAGGAACAGGAAGGGCAGAAGUCUUGCUGUACCAGUCCCAUCGCAUACCAUUAACAUACCACAUGCAGUGUUCAUAAUUUCCCAGACUGGUUUAAGGGGGAAUUUACUUGGUUAAACUUGCUCUACGAGGCUCAGGGAUUAGUCCUCUGUUCAUGUUGUGCUCAUGCUCGCUAUGACUGGGAGGCAGGAGAUGAUGUUGCACUGUCUUACCACCAACCCAGAGUCCCAGGAUCCCAGGGACUGAACCAGACUCUUGUAUAUCAGGCUCCCCAGAGAAACAAAAUCUGAUAUUUUUUCUCUUGUUGGGGGCAUAGUGAAAAUAAGAGUUGAGAGGUAAAAUUAGUUCAAACUUCUCUUCAUACUAGUUCACUUUUGCUCCAGUUCAUGCCUGCAACGGCUGUACAGAUAGCUUGUUCUCAAGUAAAUAAUUUCUAGCAUUCGUGCAACAAAAACAUAGCCUUCUUUUAACCCUUGGACUACCCUUACUCCUCCAAAUGGAACCAGCUUGGUCAUACCAUUCUCUUAUGCAAAUGUUGGUAGUCCUCAUCUAAAGGGAAGUUGAAAUGAAGGCUCCCUCUGCCCUCUGUUGGGCAGUUAAUGACAAAGUGGUAGCACAAACAUUCAGAACCUGGUAAAGUGUGGUAUGUCUCUACCAAGGAGCAGGGAGGAGAAAGCUGCAGUGAAUCUGGAAUUUGUUGAAUUUAACAUCACUGGGACAAUUGGUAUAGUCAUUGGAAUUCCAUUUAUUUUUGCAGGGGUUGCUUACAUUUGGGGGAAAGUAUUUCCUGGUAAGGGAAAUACAUUCUUGCAUUUCCUGGGUAAGAGUGAACCAAGGUACAGAAUACAACAUCAGAUAUUUUCACUGCCUGUGGAUACCACUUUGAGACAUCCAGGGUUUGAUUUGUCACAGUAUUUGGCACUGUUCCACAUUUUCUAAGGUCAGUGAUAUACCCUGGACUUCAGCCCAUGUUUCCUGGCAGAACACUGGUCAAGGAAUAUGAAAGAGCAUAGCCUGUUCAUCACGUUCCCCAGGAUGGCAACUACUUGGGUGCAACGUACCCUGAAGGACGCCCUCAGCCUCUGUGGUGUGCAGCAGUGAGGGACCGCGUUGACUUGCUGGCAGACACCUGACAUCCUGCAGAGGAGUGAUGUGCUGCCUGGCAGCUGCUCUGGGUGAGGUGCUGUGGGCUGACUGGCAGGUUCCCCCAAGAUUUCUUGGAGUUAACCAUCAGACCAUUCUUGUCACCGAUACCCAUAUUCUGCCUGCUGUGACAAUUGAGGUACAGCCCCACAGAAAAAA